Molecule: ribosomal RNA, 255 nt
Filed under: uncultured prokaryote
Description: partial 16S ribosomal RNA
Rfam family: Bacterial small subunit ribosomal RNA
Source: RNAcentral
AAGACGUAGGGCGCGAGCGUUGUCCGGAUUUAUUGGGCGUAAAGAGCUCGUAGGCGGCUUGUUGCGUCGUCGGUGAAAACCCGCAGCUCAACUGCGGGCUUGCCGUCGAUACGGGCGGGCUAGAGUUCGGUAGGGGAGACUGGAAUUCCUGGUGUAGCGGUGAAAUGCGCAGAUAUCAGGAGGAACACCGGUGGCGAAGGCGGGUCUCUGGGCCGAUACUGACGCUGAGGAGCGAAAGCGUGGGGAGCGAACAGG